This 1489-nucleotide ribosomal RNA is filed under the name Lactiplantibacillus plantarum. RNAcentral's name for it is "bacterial SSU rRNA". It matches the Rfam family "Bacterial small subunit ribosomal RNA". Lineage: Bacteria; Bacillati; Bacillota; Bacilli; Lactobacillales; Lactobacillaceae. The record is from RNAcentral.
GACGAACGCUGACGGCGUGCCUAAUACAUGCAAGUCGAACGAACUCUGGUAUUGAUUGGUGCUUGCAUCAUGAUUUACAUUUGAGUGAGUGGCGAACUGGUGAGUAACACGUGGGAAACCUGCCCAGAAGCGGGGGAUAACACCUGGAAACAGAUGCUAAUACCGCAUAACAACUUGGACCGCAUGGUCCGAGUUUGAAAGAUGGCUUCGGCUAUCACUUUUGGAUGGUCCCGCGGCGUAUUAGCUAGAUGGUGAGGUAACGGCUCACCAUGGCAAUGAUACGUAGCCGACCUGAGAGGGUAAUCGGCCACAUUGGGACUGAGACACGGCCCAAACUCCUACGGGAGGCAGCAGUAGGGAAUCUUCCACAAUGGACGAAAGUCUGAUGGAGCAACGCCGCGUGAGUGAAGAAGGGUUUCGGCUCGUAAAACUCUGUUGUUAAAGAAGAACAUAUCUGAGAGCAACUGUUCAGGUAUUGACGGUAUUUAACCAGAAAGCCACGGCUAACUACGUGCCAGCAGCCGCGGUAAUACGUAGGUGGCAAGCGUUGUCCGGAUUUAUUGGGCGUAAAGCGAGCGCAGGCGGUUUUUUAAGUCUGAUGUGAAAGCCUUCGGCUCAACCGAAGAAGUGCAUCGGAAACUGGGAAACUUGAGUGCAGAAGAGGACAGUGGAACUCCAUGUGUAGCGGUGAAAUGUGUAGAUAUAUGGAAGAACACCAGUGGCGAAGGCGGCUGUCUGGUCUGUAACUGACGCUGAGGCUCGAAAGUAUGGGUAGCAAACAGGAUUAGAUACCCUGGUAGUCCAUACCGUAAACGAUGAAUGCUAAGUGUUGGAGGGUUUCCGCCCUUCAGUGCUGCAGCUAACGCAUUAAGCAUUCCGCCUGGGGAGUACGGCCGCAAGGCUGAAACUCAAAGGUAUUGACGGGGGCCCGCACAAGCGGUGGAGCAUGUGGUUUAAUUCGAAGCUACGCGAAGAACCUUACCAGGUCUUGACAUACUAUGCAAAUCUAAGAGAUUAGACGUUCCCUUCGGGGACAUGGAUACAGGUGGUGCAUGGUUGUCGUCAGCUCGUGUCGUGAGAUGUUGGGUUAAGUCCCGCAACGAGCGCAACCCUUAUUAUCAGUUGCCAGCAUUAAGUUGGGCACUCUGGUGAGACUGCCGGUGACAAACCGGAGGAAGGUGGGGAUGACGUCAAAUCAUCAUGCCCCUUAUGACCUGGGCUACACACGUGCUACAAUGGAUGGUACAACGAGUUGCGAACUCGCGAGAGUAAGCUAAUCUCUUAAAGCCAUUCUCAGUUCGGAUUGUAGGCUGCAACUCGCCUACAUGAAGUCGGAAUCGCUAGUAAUCGCGGAUCAGCAUGCCGCGGUGAAUACGUUCCCGGGCCUUGUACACACCGCCCGUCACACCAUGAGAGUUUGUAACACCCAAAGUCGGUGGGGUAACCUUUUAGGAACCAGCCGCCUAAGGUGGGACAGAUGAUUAGGGUG